Molecule: long non-coding RNA, 661 nt
Filed under: Marmota monax (woodchuck)
Lineage: Eukaryota; Metazoa; Chordata; Mammalia; Rodentia; Sciuridae
Source: RNAcentral
UUGAUUAACCUUAGUGUAGUCCCCAUUGUGGACCACCAAGGGUGGGAACUGUCCCCUGUACACCAUGAUCAGUGUGGACAGAUAACCAGGGCUUUCCUGACAGGUGAGGCUCAACCCCCAUGGUCCUGAAGUUGAGUUUCCACCAACUGUGGUGAAAUAGGGGUUUAGAGGCCAAAUUAGGUUGAUGAAAAAAUAAAGCAACCAGGAGCUUCCAGGCUGAAAUAUCUACAAGACACUUCAGGGUGCUCUGUGGACAUGUCCCCAGAAGAAAGGCAAGCUUCCAAAGUCAGGGCUGUUUUUUUUUUUUUUUUAAGAGAGAGAGAGAAUUUUUUAAUAUUUAUUUUUUAGUUUUUGGUGGACACAACAUCUUUAUUUUUAUGUGGUGCUGAGGAUCGAACCCAGCGCCCGGCGCAUGCCAGGCGAACGGGGUACCGCUUGAGCCACAUCCCCAGCCCCAGGGGCUUUGAGCUCUUAAAUGUUUAUAGCCCAAGAAAUUCUCUGAGUUCUCCAUUAUGGAGCAUCCAAUAACUGUUAGGGUCGGGGUGGAACCCUAAGGAGGGUGUGCAGCCCGGAAGGAGCAGCCUUUUGUACUGGACAAAUCCCAAAUCUGUAAUGUCCGUGGAUCAAUAAAAAUUGCAUUUUUCCCCCAAGAUGCUUCUGU